RNAcentral lists this ribosomal RNA (238 nucleotides) under uncultured bacterium. RNAcentral's name for it is "partial 16S ribosomal RNA". It matches the Rfam family "Bacterial small subunit ribosomal RNA", at positions 1260 to 1500 of the family's 1533-position model. The record is from RNAcentral.
ACCGGAUGCGGAUCUCAAAGCCUGUCCCAGUUCGGACUGGAGUCUGCAACCCGACUCCACGAAGUUGGAUUCGCUAGUAAUCGCGCAUCAGCCAUGGCGCGGUGAAUACGUUCCCGGGCCUUGUACACACCGCCCGUCAAGCCAUGGGAGCCGGGGGCGCCUGAAGUCUGUAGCCUGACGCAAGAGGGCGCAGCCGAAGGUGGGAUUGAUGACUGGGGUGAAGUCGUAACAAGGUAAC